Molecule: ribosomal RNA, 377 nt
Filed under: uncultured bacterium
Lineage: Bacteria
Description: partial 16S ribosomal RNA
Rfam family: Bacterial small subunit ribosomal RNA
Source: RNAcentral
CCUACGGGUGGCAGCAGUGGGGAAUAUUGGGCAAUGGAGGAAACUCUGACCCAGCAACGCCGCGUGAAUGAUGAAGGUCCUCGGAGUGUAAGGUUCUUUUCUACGGGAAGAAGAAAGUGACGGUACCUUAGGAAUAAGCCUCGGCUAACUACGUGCAAGCAGCCGCGGUAAUACGUAGGAGGCGAGCGUUAUCCGGAAUGACUGGGCGUAAAGGGUGCGUAGGUGGUUCGGCAAGGUAGUAGCGUAACUCCAAGGCUCAACCUUGGAACUACUACUAGAACUGGUGGACGUGAGUGCAGGGGGGGCAUCCGGAAUUCGUGGUGUAGCGGUGGAAUGCGUAGAUAUUAGGAGGAACACCAGUGGCGAAGGCAGGUUGC